RNAcentral lists this ribosomal RNA (477 nucleotides) under uncultured bacterium. Its description in RNAcentral is "bacterial SSU rRNA". It matches the Rfam family "Bacterial small subunit ribosomal RNA", at positions 15 to 518 of the family's 1533-position model. The record is from RNAcentral.
GAUUAUGGCUCAGAACGAACGCUGGCGGCAUGGAUUAGGCAUGCAAGUUGAACGAACUCCUUCGGGAGUGAGUAGCGGAAGGGUGAGGAACGCGUGAGUAAUCUGCCCCCCAGUUGGGAAUAACAGUUGGAAACGACUGCUAAUACCGAAUGUGGCUUAAGCUUCGCCUGGAGCUUUGGCUAAAGAUUUAUCGCUGGGGGAUGAGCUCGCGUCCCAUUAGGUAGUUGGUGAGGUAACGGCUCACCAAGCCGACGAUGGGUAGCUGGUCUGAGAGGAUGGUCAGCCACACUGGGACUGAGACACUGCCCAGACUCCUACGGGAGGCUGCAGUCGAGAAUCUUGGGCAAUGCGCGAAAGCGUGACCCAGCAAUGCCGCGUGUAUGAUGAAGGCCCUCGGGUCGUAAAGUACUGUCUCCCGUGACGAAAUUUGACGGUAGCGGGGAAGGAAGCCACGGCUAACUACGUGCCAGCAGCAGC